Long non-coding RNA from Lingula anatina, 398 nucleotides. The record is from RefSeq and is a predicted model, not a curated record. Lineage: Eukaryota; Metazoa; Brachiopoda; Lingulata; Lingulida; Lingulidae.
AUAUGAUACUGGGCCUUAUGUAUAUAAAGACGUCAGCGGAUUUCCAAUUGGAUUCAUUCACGACUUAAUAGACGCAGGUAAUCUAAAUUUCCUUUUGAACAUUUUGUUUGGUUCGUUUUCUGUUCGUGUUUGAAAACAAUAACAAUGCUAAAAUAUCAACUUGGAAAUACUGUCUCAUUUAUUCAUUUAUUCUUUAUUGAGUCUGCCUGGAGGCGGAUAUGGAUUGUAGGACGGUCACGGACCAAUCCACCAAUUGUAUGAUCUCGGAGAGAGGGCAGCCGAUGCGCGGGGGGCAAGGACUUAUGGAAGGUUGGUACGACGCCUGCACCGGAUGGCUGGCCACACGUCAACGGAAGCAGAUUUUCGAAUUUUCCAAGCCGUUUCUGAAACCUCUUGAG